CACCGGUGAUCGUUUUGAUCCAUUCCAAACAUUCCUGCGCCAGUUCCUUGCUAUAUUUGCUGUUGAUCUGUAACAGAAAUGCAUUUACGAUCAGUCUCAGUUUUCUUUGGGAAUCCAACAAUAACAAAAGUUACGAGAUUAUCGAAAAGAGAUUUCACGAGAUUUUCGUCGAUCUUUCGAACUCGAAGGGGCACGAGCCACUAGCGACUGCUUGUUAUUAAUUAUGCGAUGUGCCAGUGAUCCAAGUAACACAUCCUGUAGGGUCUGCGACAUGAGCGUGGCCGGAGUCACUGACCCAACUUGUUUAAACACUUUGCUCGUUGUUUCUUCGAGGUGCCUCGCAAAUCUUCCCCGUGAACGAAAGCAUCGUUUCGCAGAAAGUUUCUGCGCUGUUUAAAAAUGAUUAAAGACGUAGUAUGUAUUCUCAUUUACCUUUCCAUUGUCAAGACGAUUUCCAGAGUAACAUUUUUUUUUGUCGCUUUCUACGUUUCUGAAGAGGCCAUAGAACAAACGACGAAAUGCUUACCGAUCUAUCGAUAUAGGAGAGAAACUUUAAUCAACCUAGGAAGACAAAAAUCUCUGCUUCAAUUCCAAAAUAAGGAUCAGAAAUUCUUUUGGCCCCUUCCGAGUACCAUACUCGUUUCUGAAUUCAAGAUUUUACAAAAGACGUUACGAACGACCACGGCAACAGCACACCACGAGAUUCGUAUAACCUGAAGUCCGUGGAGAACGCGUAAUGGGCGCACAGUUAUUCACGUAAAGGCUACCUAAAAAGGAGAGGUUCGUAAGCAUGGACCGUCGCAUUCAUCCCGAUGCAGUAUGUAUAUUCCGUUAGGCAUACGGUGUCUUGAUCGUGAUGUAUUUCACGUGUCUGCGUCGUAAAACGACCAGUCUUGUGAUCCUGUGCAUGCAAUUAGAAUAAUAUACUGUCGAUUUGGCGUCUGGUAUCCUUGUUCUAAGCGUGGUGGUAAUCAGAAUUUUGCAAUAUUUGGAGCAUCGUUGCAAAUAUCUCUUGGUCCGGUAUUUUCAUUUUUCAGAUUCUUCGUAUUUUCGAAUACGUUGAAUUGAUAUAUCAGAGUUCGUAAGCGUGGAAUAGUAAAUUUUAUUAAAUCAACUGUAAGAUCGAGAGAAUCGAGCAACCAGGAGGCCAAGCGUAUUAAUUAUAAAUUAUAAUGUGAAUCUGUCAGAAUUCUUGUUACAGACAUAUAAACCAGGAAGUUCAUAAACAAUGCCUCGUUCAAAGAAGUUUCACGAUAGAGGUAUUCACUUUCUCCGAACGCAUCAUUCGGCAGUCCGUUGAAAUUGCAUCCUAAUCACGGAAGAAGAAUAUGCACGAGCAAUUACAAUGUGCAAUUAAUAAGGAUAAUAGCGAUUGUUAAAUUCGAAGUGUUGGAACUUUCACGCAAGUGUGGAUCUUGCUUCCUCUAACUUGCUCCUGUUAUUUCGCUAUUUCGCGGAACAUUUUGUUGUUACGACUUAGUCGCCUUAGUCUAUAAGACGUCAAAAGGAAAUACACGAUAUUUCUGUAUACAAGCAAACUUUUUUCCGUGUUAAAGCUAUCUCGUUUCAAGCAAAAAAACAUCCUUUGCUAUAUUAUCACUCGUAUUUAUGUAAGUGUUUCUAGUUUCUCGUAUCUUUGUUUGAAAUAGAUGCUUUGAACGUUGUUAUCAUAAAAUCACAUAGCAUUAUCGUUAUCAUACGAUCACAGAGUCUCGAGUAUCCAUAAUAGCAGAAAACAUGUAUUACAUUAAUGGAAGGAAGAUUACGAGCGAAACUCAGAUUAAUUUUCUUCGAUUGACAUUUCUUUUAUUUAAUAUAAAUCCUUCGAUUUUUAUAAAUAUUAUAUUUGUAAUUUUUGUGAAGUGAUAGCAGGUAAUCUGUGUAGUUACAAGUGUUCUUCUACACCAGGUUCCCCAUAGCCAACGAUAACAUUCGAUUCGUCCUCAACGACAUCCACUAUCUCCGUGAUAUAAGCCCGUGUAUGAUGUAGAACACGAUGUGAAUACUAUAUUUAGAUAUUGAGUAAGCGCACGAUAAUUUCAUUAACGAGGAAAGAAUGACGAGGAGCGUUGAAAAAUGCUGGCGGUUUUGGGGCAACCGAGUGGAACGAAGCAAACACCGUUCCGAGCGACGUGUCUCGCUUAUGAAAGUACCUUUCAGAUUACUUAAUACGGGAUUAUAACAUCGGCGAGUCUUCUAUUGUAAGGUUGUAGCUCUGCAAGAUCAUUUGCAUAAACUCGCGGCCACGUCAGCGGUCGCUUUGCAAUUUUUGCUUGUGUAAUUAUUCCCGUUCGUCGCCGUGUUUGAUCUUUCGUUUCCAGUAAUAUCUAUUAUUAUACUUAUUACGAACGCGAAUAAAAAAGAUCAUUCGCCUUUUAACUUUUACAGAAAUUAAUUCUAAUUAUUGCGUCGUCCGUUUCCAUUGCUCGGACAAGCUGAGAAUGUUUUUCCUUUUAAUUGUAAUUAUCGUGUUUUCAUUUCGCGUUGAAAAGAAUUGUUGAUCAUAACGAAAAAAUAUAAGAACCUAACACGAUAUGCCAGGGAAACGAUUAUUUUCUAUUUUGUUUCUUUCGUGAUCGAGAAACGAAUCUAAAAAUAACAGUCGCACGAUAGACGCACGUUAAUUUAUCUAACCUCGACCAAAGAAUAGCGCUUAUCGUUAGGUUAAAUUUCACGAAGGCAACGUACAGGUCUUACAAAAGCUACCGAGGCAAAACGAAAUGUUUAGGGACAGGGUGUGACGUCUACCUAUAUAGAUUCCGCUGCAUACCAGGCGAUCUUGAAGCUGGAUCUUCUCGAGCAGGCUGCUCAAGUUGGAAGGGCGUGGUGGAGCGCCUAUUGUGUCGAAGAUUAUGUGGGGUUGCAACAGGCGAACCCUCGUUUAUAUCAUUUUUCUUGCUUCUUCCGACGAGCGAUGCUUCCGCUAUAAAAAGUACGCUCGAACGUUAUCUUCUUUAUAAUUGACUGGAGUUGUUUAUAAAAACUGUAUGCUUUUGGCAAGAAAAAUAUUCACGGCAGAUUCUACCAAGAAACAGGCAUGUUUGUCGAAAUUGUCUAUCACGCUCAAAUAACAUGACGUAAGAAACGACGUGUCGAUAUUAGAUUAUUUUACGUGAUCAUUGCACUUUACCCGAUUAGAUAUCGCGUACUUGUUAAAUUUUUAAACGACGCCGUACAUUUUUGUUUACCGUCGCGUUUCCAUUUAUUUUUGGACAGAAAAAUAUUUAGACAUUGGUCUUAUCUUUUGUCAUUGGAAUGUAAGAGUUACUAUUCCCUGUGCAAAGAUAUUACAGGUUUCUUUCUGUAAUCUGUGCAUCUGAUAUCUGAAAGGAACGCAAUUUGUCGCAGUCACACAGAUCGUUCUGCAAAGGAACGCAGCUUGUAUGGAAGAUUGUUGCAAGCGCAAGUGUGAGUCGGUUGCCGGGGCAAGUGUUUGCAGUUAAAGGAUUGCCUCGUGUCUCUCUGAUACUUGCGACAACGACGCUUUUAACGGCGCUCUAGCUCGUUCACGGUCAUGAAAAUUGGGUCAGAGGCCUGGCCAUCAAUGAGUCGCUGGACAAAUUGAAGGAAUUGCUCUUCUCGAACAGUAUGCCACCAGCGAAAUCAUUUUCCUCGUUACACCAAGUCCACUUAGAUUAAUUUAUUGGUCAUAGAAUUAACGUUGUUAACUAACUUACGAUCGGAGAUGAAGCCUACGAUUGCUUCGUUGAUUGAUGCAAUAGGAACAUGUUUCACUCGAAAGUGUCUCUGAAUUUCUUGCAAAUAUAUCAAAAUAUUACCGGUUAUAAUUUAUUAAUAAUUCGAUUUGUUUCAAUUUGAACAUUAUUGAUGUUACUGAUUAUAUAGUAUUAUUAGCUUGAUCAAUAUUUUAUAUUAUACACGUCGUUUAAGUUUGAUUUAUUUCUACAGAUUAAAAAAUUCCUACCAAUAAAUCACUUACAAUUCCUCUUUGUCAGAGAUAAGACGAUUAAGUAGCAAUUGCUACGAAUCAAGCUGUAUUCGCUGUAUACGACGCAGCAAUAUUUCAACCACGUAAUUUAGUUAUCGAUUAGACGAUAAGAGACAGUUAGAUCGAUCGGCGCAACGAUUUUUAAAAAACCAUCGACUAAUAUCUGAAUAAAUAUUAAAUUGAUAUGGAACUGUGAUAUCGAGGCAUGAAUCCUGUGAAUUUUACAAUUUCUCAGAGGUGGAAUUCGCUGUACAAGCAAUGACGUAAUGCUUCUGUAUAAUUUUACGCAAUUCAAACUCAAUUUUUUAUUCUCUCUUAAUUUAGCAGAAUAAAACGGCCAGAACGAGUUCGGUACUACGAGAUUUGCAACGUUCAGAACGCGUGAUCUAAAAUCCCUUUCCACGAAUCGAAGAAAAAAGAAAAACAGAUGGAAUUGCAUCGAUUACGUCGAUUCACCUUGAUCACGAACGCAAGGAGAACAGCAUUUAAAAGUGUCUCUCGUUCGACCAGUUUCCAUAUCGGUGCAAAAGAUUUGCUCCUGAAACGAUUGGUUGUCUAACGAUCUAUCUUAGGAAAUAGAUUAUCUUAAAAACGACCUUCAUCAUAAAUCUAUAAUUAACCUACUUUCUAAUAAAUAUUCCGUAAUAUGACGCAGUUGCGAUUAUUUGUCUUUCAAUAAUUAAUCCAUUUUUGACUCGUAUAUGUCCUUCCGAUAACUAAUCUCUUUAUCCCUUUCAUCUUUAUCUUCCACUCAAUUUCUACCCAUUCGAAUUAUUUUUACAACUUACUUGAUUACGUUCUAGCGAUGAAGAAGACACUCGACAAUUUCUAAAGUACAUAGAUAAGUACUAUCUACUUUACUGUCACCUUGAUCGGUUCUUUUCCACGUUUUGUGCGGACAACUUUCCAGAAAAGCGAUACUUACGAUUACAUUACAUACAACGAACGUAUAAAAUUGUCUAUGAGUUUAGUAACGAAAAAAAUAAAAAAAAAAAAAGAGAAAAA
Molecule: long non-coding RNA, 4954 nt
Organism: Bombus huntii
Lineage: Eukaryota; Metazoa; Arthropoda; Insecta; Hymenoptera; Apidae
Exons: 2
Source: RefSeq, a predicted model, not a curated record